Molecule: ribosomal RNA, 840 nt
Filed under: uncultured bacterium
Lineage: Bacteria
Description: bacterial SSU rRNA
Rfam family: Bacterial small subunit ribosomal RNA
Source: RNAcentral
AGAGUUUGAUCCUGGCUCAGGACGAACGUUGGCGGUGCGCUUAAUGCAUGAGAGUUUGAUCCUGGCUCAGAUUGAACGCUGGCGGCAGGCUUAACACAUGCAAGUCGAGCGGUAACAGGGGUAGCUUGCUACCCGCUGACGAGCGGCGGACGGGUGAGUAAUGCUUGGGAAGCUGCCCUGACGAGGGGGAUAACAGUUGGAAACGACUGCUAAUACCGCAUAACCUCUUUGGAGUAAAGCGGGGGAUCUUCGGACCUCGCGCGUUAGGAUGCGCCCAAGUGGGAUUAGCUGGUUGGUGGGGUAAUGGCUCACCAAGGCGACGAUCCCUAGCUGGUCUGAGAGGAUGAUCAGCCACACUGGGACUGAGACACGGCCCAGAUUCCUACGGGAGGCAGCAGUGGGGAAUAUUGCACAAUGGGCGAAAGCCUGAUGCAGCCAUGCCGCGUGUAUGAAGAAGGCCUUCGGGUUGUAAAGUACUUUCAGCGAGGAGGAAAGGAUGCGUCUUAAUACGGCUCAUCUGUGACGUUACUCGCAGAAGAAGCACCGGCUAACUCCGUGCCAGCAGCCGCGGUAAUACGGAGGGUGCGAGCGUUAAUCGGAAUUACUGGGCGUAAAGCGCAUGCAGGCGGCUGAUUAAGCCAGAUGUGAAAGCCCGAGGCUCAACCUCGGAAUAGCAUUUGGAACUGGUCAGCUAGAGUUCUUGAGAGGGUGGUAGAAUUUCAGGUGUAGCGGUGAAAUGCGUAGAGAUCUGAAGGAAUACCAGUGGCGAAGGCGGCCACCUGGCAAGUAACUGACGCUGAGGUGCGAAAGCGUGGGGAGCAAACAGGAUUAGAUACCCUG